Molecule: ribosomal RNA, 1351 nt
Filed under: Thaumastocoris petilis
Lineage: Eukaryota; Metazoa; Arthropoda; Insecta; Hemiptera; Thaumastocoridae
Description: SSU rRNA
Rfam family: Eukaryotic small subunit ribosomal RNA
Source: RNAcentral
UUCUGGAGCUAAUACAUGCAACACAAAAAUAUUUCCCAUGCAAAUGGGAAAAAAAUGCUCUUAUUGUUCCACAAGACCAAUCGCUCUUUAAAGGGCAUCGAUCUACACUCUAAAUAAUUCAAAUAGAUCGGACGAUCUAUCGGCGCUAUACCUUUUCAAAUGCCUAAUUUAUUAAACUUACGAUGGUACACUUUGUGUCCACCAUGGCCCUCAUGGGUAACGGAGAAUUGGGGUUCCACUCCGGAGAGGGAGCCUGAGAAACGGCUACCACAUCCAAGGAAGGCAGCAGGCACGCAAAUUACCCAAUCCCGGCACGGGGAGGUGGUGACAAUAAAUACCAAUACGGGACUCUUCUGAGGCCCCGUAAUUGGAAUGAGUGCACAAUAAACCCUUGAACAAGGAUCCAUUGGAGGGAAAGUCUGGUGCCAGCAGCCGCGGUAAAUCCAGCUCCAAUAGCGUAUAUUAAAUUUGCUGCGGUUAAAAAGCUCGUAGUUGGUACUACUACAUUACUGCAACACUGUUGGUUCGCCGCCUGUUGGUGCGUGUUACUGGCAUGCUGUUGCUUGACCUGUCGGCUCGAAUAAAAACCGGGAAAUCUUUCGCGAAUGGACCCAUUUGUUGAGAAGUUUACUCGGGCGUCUUAAAGAGGGGCUCGCUCCUCCAGUCGUCCGGUACUUCCAACCGGGCCUGUGUGAUUGUCAUUUAACCGAUUAUUCAUCCCAUCCUUUCGUGAGCUCUUGACUGAGUUUCGAUUGGUAUGGGGCCGACACGUCGACACUUUGAACAAAUUAGAGUGCUCAAAGCAAGCUCAAAUUUCUGCCUGAAUAAUGGUGCAUAGAAUAAGAGAAAAGGACCUUGUUCGUUCUAUUCUGUUGGUCUCCGGAACACAGGGUAAUGAUCAAUAAGGACUGUCGGGGGCAAUCGUAUUGCGGCGUUAGACUUGGCAAAUGCUUUCGCGGUGAAAUUCUUGGAUCGUCGCAAGACGCUCGAAAGCGAAAGCAAUUGCCAAGUAUGUCUUAAUUGAUCAAGAACGAAAGUUAGAGGUUCGAAGGCGAUCAGAUACCGCCCUAGUUCUAACCAUAAACGAUGCCAGCCAGCGAUCCGCCGAUGUUCUUUCUUUAUGAUGACUCGUGCGGGAAGCUCCUCCCCGGGAAACCAAAGCUUUCGGGUUCUGGGGGGAGUAUGGUUGCAAAGCUGAAACUUAAAGGAAUUGACGGAAGGGCACCACAAGCAGUGGAGCCUGCGGCUUAAUUUGACUCAACACGGGAAACCUCACCAGGUCAGGACAUUGAAAGGAUUGACAGAUUGAUGGCUCUUUCUCGAUUACUGUGGGUAGUGGUGCAUGGCCGUU